GCGGCUGAGUGCGGCGACGACGCAUCUGUACCGCUCUGCUUACACUUACUACAAAUCCGUCUCAGUGGCGCUCAUCCGAUCAGCGGUCGAUGCAGUCGGCGACCGAGACGCGAAGCGACGAUGCAACGUGUCGACAUAUGCACGGCGCAUCGUUGCGCGAGUCCAUCAUGAAUUAGCCAGUGGCUCUCUCGCGCGGGGAAACGUCGCGCCGAUGCACCAUUACGGUGCGUUACGAAAUAAGAGAGUACGAUUAAAGAAAUCCGAGUAGCAUAAAAGUCGAGGCUCGUCGAUGACGUUUCCCCGAUGAUGCUUCUCGACGUAUACUUAACUCGCGGAUUGAAACAAAUGUUUAAUUGCGCAACACGCGUGAUUAGCCGCGAUACGCGCGCGAUUACGGCCACGUUUCAUGCUAAUGUAAUCGAUAGGAAGACGAUUAUUUGUCAAUAGAUAAUUAGACGAUGCGGCGCACCGCAAAGGAUGCAGCGCAUUGAAUGGCGGAUGAGUAAUUGCAGCGCGAAUAUUACCCGCGAUUGCGAGCGCCGUCAUUGGUACACUCUGUAAAUGAGAAGUAAAAUUGGUGGAUGACACGCAAACGUCCCGCAGGAACGUGACGAUAAUGCCGGGGCAGCGGAGGACGCCGAGGCUUUUAAUUAAAAGUCCAACGCGGUGCCAUAAAGGCGAUCUUUCGCGACACUUACGAGCAUGUGUGAACGACGAACUGUUUAUAUUACUGCGACGCGCCGGAGACUUUUGCUAUCGACAAAGGCCUACGUAACCGGAUCACAUUCGUCAUCAACUAACCAGUUCCGUUCUCGAUUGCAGGCAUAUGGCGCAGAUGGCUGAAUGAGUGUACAAUCUGCUGAUCGCGACUUACCUGAAAGAAAAAUAAGACAUUGUAAUUAGUAAUUUGA
Long non-coding RNA from Linepithema humile (Argentine ant), 911 nucleotides. RefSeq lists it as uncharacterized. Lineage: Eukaryota; Metazoa; Arthropoda; Insecta; Hymenoptera; Formicidae. The record is from RefSeq and is a predicted model, not a curated record.